Molecule: ribosomal RNA, 253 nt
Filed under: uncultured bacterium
Lineage: Bacteria
Description: partial 16S ribosomal RNA
Rfam family: Bacterial small subunit ribosomal RNA
Source: RNAcentral
UACGGAGGGGGCUAGCGUUGUUCGGAAUUACUGGGCGUAAAGCGCACGUAGGCGGCUUUGUAAGUUAGAGGUGAAAGCCCGGGGCUCAACUCCGGAACUGCCUUUAAGACUGCAUCGCUAGAAUUGUGGAGAGGUAAGUGGAAUUCCGAGUGUAGAGGUGAAAUUCGUAGAUAUUCGGAAGAACACCAGUGGCGAAGGCGACUUACUGGCCCGAUACUGACGCUGAGGCGCGAAAGCGUGGGGAGCAAACAGG